Long non-coding RNA from Patella vulgata (common limpet), 1172 nucleotides. RefSeq lists it as uncharacterized. The transcript has 2 exons. The record is from RefSeq and is a predicted model, not a curated record. NCBI's taxonomy places the organism in Eukaryota, Metazoa, Mollusca, Gastropoda, Patellidae.
GGUUUCCCCUUGUCAGUGGUGCAGAACGGAGGGUCUGACAAGGAUACCUGUCUAGUCCUUCGGAUGAGACAAAAAACCGAGGUCCUGUGUAUACAUUGGAAUACACGUAAAAGAUCCCUAGGCAGUUGGAAUUCGAUAUAAGAGUAGACGAUAGUGCCGCUGCCCGGGUAAAAUUUCCCUCACAGCACACUGUAUGGUGUAUGCCCGUCUUCAUUAGCCCAGUAUAGGAGCAGAACAGUAGGACGUUAAACCCCAUUUCAUUUAUCUCCAAGCCACAUGAAUUCACACCAAGGAUUGAAACCAUGACUGAAAGCCAGAUCGGCCAGCUUGAGCACAAGGCGCGACGUUCUUGACCACUAAAACCCCCGUUUACAUUACAAAUUUUAAGUCUACCAGACUCGAUAUCAGGUAUGGCAUGUUUCGCUUUAUUGUAGUGUAAACGGGUCAAAUGUAAGCGUGCCGUGCCUGGUAAUCUGGCCCACUGAAGUGAGGUGGUCUCAGAACGGUACCAGGACCGGCUCGCUUUAAAUUUUCGUAGUGUAAACGCUAAACGGUCUGAGCACGGAUUACUGCGCAUGCGCCAAAUGAACCUUGACCUUUUUCCCGCAAACUUUGACAGCUGUCAUCAAUUCUGUCAAAUUGGCUGCUCAAACUAAAUAAACCAUCAUAAUUGUUUUCAUCUGGGUAAUUUGUAUAGGGACUGAAAUUAACUUUUCUGUGAAGAGUUCCACAUAUAUCGUGCUUGGCACGGUUCUGAGACCUGUUAUUUUAGAGUAAUCUAAACGGGUCAAUUUCUUGAAAUUUAUCGCGUCCUGGUACCGUGCCCAGAACGGCACGCUUAUCGCGGCCAUGUGUAAACGGGGCUUAAGCCAUCCCUCUCCUCCUCUAGCACAUUGAAUGUUUCCUUUUAUUGAGAACCCCAUUUGCAUAUUGUCUCAUGAAGCUACUUGUUAAACAGGUAAUCAUGUGCCGUUUUCACAAAUUCAUAAGGCAGCGCAAACAUCGGAACUGAUAGUUCACAAACAAUAUAAAUGAAGGCCCACUAUUUAGUUAAUCCAAAGAAUAGAGCCAUCUGAUGAGAUCAAAUUUAUAUGUAUAUAUAUUUCUAUAACUUGUUUGUUGUUACCCAAUAUGUAAUUAAAAUUGUUUAAAUAAAAUUGAUGUUAAAUUUU